RNAcentral lists this ribosomal RNA (492 nucleotides) under uncultured bacterium. RNAcentral describes it as "partial 16S ribosomal RNA". It matches the Rfam family "Bacterial small subunit ribosomal RNA", at positions 29 to 507 of the family's 1533-position model. The record is from RNAcentral.
AGUGAACGCUGGCGGUAGGCCUAACACAUGCAAGUCGAACGGCAGCACAGUAAUAGCUUGCUCUUACGGGUGGCGAGUGGCGUACGGGUGAGGAAUGCAUCGUAAUCUACUUUUUCGUGGGGGAUAACGUAGGGAAACUUACGCUAAUACCGCAUACGACCUACGGGUGAAAGCAGGGGAUCUUCGGACCUUGCGCGAUUGAAUGAGCCGAUGUCGGAUUAGCUAGUUGGCGGGGUAAAGGCCCACCAAGGCGACGAUACGUAGCUGGUCUGAGAGGAUGAUCAGCCACACUGGAACUGAGACACGGUCAAGACUCCUACGGGAGGCAGCAGUGGGGAAUAUUGGACAAUGGGCGCAAGCAUGAUCCAGCCAUACCGCGUGGGUGAAGAAGGCCUUCGGGUUGUAAAGCCCUUUUGUUGGGAAAGAAAAGCAGCAGGUUAAUACCCCGCUGUUCUGACGGUACCCAAAGAAUAAGCACCGGCUAACUUCGUA